AUUGAACGCUGGCGGCAUGCCUUACACAUGCAAGUCGAACGGCAGCACGGGAGCAAUCCUGGUGGCGAGUGGCGAACGGGUGAGUAAUGUAUCGGAACGUGCCCAUUCGUGGGGGAUAACGUAGCGAAAGCUACGCUAAUACCGCAUACGAUCUAUGGAUGAAAGCGGGGGAUCGCAAGACCUCGCGCGAUUGGAGCGGCCGAUAUCAGAUUAGGUAGUUGGUGGGGUAAAGGCUCACCAAGCCGACGAUCUGUAGCUGGUCUGAGAGGACGACCAGCCACACUGGGACUGAGACACGGCCCAGACUCCUACGGGAGGCAGCAGUGGGGAAUUUUGGACAAUGGGCGCAAGCCUGAUCCAGCAAUGCCGCGUGCAGGAUGAAGGCCUCCGGGUUGUAAACUGCUUUUGUACGGAACGAAACGGCGAGCUCUAAUACAGUUUGCUAAUGACGGUACCGUAAGAAUAAGCACCGGCUAACUACGUGCCAGCCGCCGCCGUAA
This 500-nucleotide ribosomal RNA is filed under the name uncultured bacterium. RNAcentral describes it as "partial 16S ribosomal RNA". It matches the Rfam family "Bacterial small subunit ribosomal RNA", at positions 30 to 523 of the family's 1533-position model. The record is from RNAcentral.